This 468-nucleotide ribosomal RNA is filed under the name uncultured bacterium. RNAcentral describes it as "partial 16S ribosomal RNA". It matches the Rfam family "Bacterial small subunit ribosomal RNA", at positions 28 to 507 of the family's 1533-position model. The record is from RNAcentral.
GACGAACGCUGGCGGCGUGCUUAACACAUGCAAGUCGAACGGAAAGGCCCUGCUUUUGUGGGGUUCUCGAGUGGCGAACGGGUGUGUAUCACGUGAGUAACCUGCCCCUUACUUUGGGAUAACUUCAGUAAACUGGGGCUCAUAUCCGAUAUGAGCUCUUUCUGCAUGGUGUGGGUUUGAAAGUUUCGGCGUUUGGGGAUGGACUCGAGGCCUAUCAGUUUGUUGGUGGGGUAGUGGCUUACCAAGGCAUUGACGAGUAGCCCGACUGAGAGGGUGACCGGCCACAUUGGGACUGAGAUACGGCCAAGAGUCAUACGGGAGGAAGCAGUGGGGAAUAGUGCACAAUGGGCGGAAGCAUGAUGCAGGAACGCCGCGUGCGAGAUGACGGCCUUCGGGUUGUAACCCGCGUUCGCCUGUGACGAAGCGUGAGUGACGGUAAUGGGUAAGGAAGCAACGGCUAACUACGUG